GCUGGCGGCGUGCCUAACACAUGCAAGUCGAACGAGAAAGUGGAGCAAUCCAUGAGUAAAGUGGCGACCGGGUGAGUAACACGUGACUAACCUACCUCCGAGUGGGGAAUAACUCCGGGAAACCGGGGCUAAUACCGCAUAACAUCGCAAGAUCAAAGCAGCAAUGCGCUUGGAGAGGGGGUCGCGGCUGAUUAGCUCGUUGGCGGGGUAACGGCCCACCAAGGCGAAGAUCGGUAUCCGGGCUGAGAGGGCGCACGGACACACUGGAACUGAAACACGGUCCAGACUCCUACAGGAGGCACCAAUGGGGAAUUUAGCGCAAUGGGGGAAAUCCUGACGCAUCAACGCCGCGUGGAGGAUGAAGCCCUUUGGGGCGUAAACUCCUUUCGACUCGGACGAUAAUGACGGUACGAGUGGAAGAAGCACCGGCUAACUCUGUGCCAGCAGACGCGGUAAUACAGAGGGUGCGAGCGUUGUUCGGAAUUAUUGGGCGUAAAGGGCGCGUAGGCGGUGCGGUAAGUCACCUGUGAAAUCUCC
Molecule: ribosomal RNA, 537 nt
Filed under: uncultured bacterium
Lineage: Bacteria
Description: bacterial SSU rRNA
Rfam family: Bacterial small subunit ribosomal RNA
Source: RNAcentral